CGGCCGUAGCGCGGUGGUCCCACCUGACCCCAUGCCGAACUCAGAAGUGAAACGCCGUAGCGCCGAUGGUAGUGUGGGGUCUCCCCAUGCGAGAGUAGGGAACUGCCAGGC
RNAcentral lists this ribosomal RNA (111 nucleotides) under Escherichia coli. The record is from RNAcentral. Lineage: Bacteria; Pseudomonadati; Pseudomonadota; Gammaproteobacteria; Enterobacterales; Enterobacteriaceae. RNAcentral also lists the same sequence under 16 other names.